CGGGGUGUAGCGCAGUUGGCUAGCGCGCGUGGUUUGGGACCAUGAGGUCGUGGGUUCGAGUCCCACCUCCCCGACCA
Molecule: transfer RNA, 77 nt
Filed under: Candidatus Falkowbacteria bacterium RIFOXYA2_FULL_35_8
Lineage: Bacteria; Candidatus Falkowiibacteriota
Also listed under: 3 other names
Description: tRNA-Pro
Rfam family: tRNA
About the family: Transfer RNA (tRNA) molecules are approximately 80 nucleotides in length. Their secondary structure includes four short double-helical elements and three loops (D, anti-codon, and T loops). Further hydrogen bonds mediate the characteristic L-shaped molecular structure. tRNAs have two regions of fundamental functional importance: the anti-codon, which is responsible for specific mRNA codon recognition, and the 3' end, to which the tRNAs corresponding amino acid is attached (by aminoacyl-tRNA synthetases). tRNAs cope with the degeneracy of the genetic code in two manners: having more than one tRNA (with a specific anti-codon) for a particular amino acid; and 'wobble' base-pairing, i.e. permitting non-standard base-pairing at the 3rd anti-codon position.
Source: RNAcentral